Molecule: ribosomal RNA, 492 nt
Filed under: uncultured bacterium
Lineage: Bacteria
Description: partial 16S ribosomal RNA
Rfam family: Bacterial small subunit ribosomal RNA
Source: RNAcentral
GGUGAACGCUGGCGGUAGGCCUAACACAUGCAAGUCGAGCGGCAGCACAAUAAGAGCUUGCCCUUAGGUGUGGCGAGUGGCGGGCGGGUGAGGCAUACAUCGGAAUCUCCUUUAACGUGGGGGAUAACGUAGGGAAACCUACGCUAAUACCGCAUACGACCUACGGGUGAAAGCAGGGGAUCUUCAGACCUUGCCCGAUUGAGUGAGCCGAUGUCCGAUUUGCUAGGUUGCGGGGUAUAGGCCCACCAAGGCGACGAUCCGUAGCUGUUCUGAGAGGAUGAUCAGCCACACUGGACCUGAGACACGGUCCAGACUCCUACGGGAGGCAGCAGUGGCGAAUAUUGGACAAGGGGCUCAAGCCUGAUCCAGCCAUACCGCGUCGGUGAAGGAAGCCUUGGGGUUGUAAAGCCCUUUUGUUGGGAAAGAAAAGGAAAAGGUUCUAUUCUCGCGGUUCUGACGGUACCCAAAGAAUAAGCACCGGCUAACUUCGUG